UACAGGGGGUGCAAACGUUGCUCGGAAUCACUGGGCGUAAAGGGUGCGUAGGCGGGUCUUUUAAGUCAGGGGUGAAAUCCUGGAGCUCAACUCCAGAACUGCCUUUGAUACUGAGGAUCUUGAGUUCGGGAGAGGUGAGUGGAACUGCGAGUGUAGAGGUGAAAUUCGUAGAUAUUCGCAAGAACACCAGUGGCGAAGGCGGCUCACUGGCCCGAUACUGACGCUGAGGCACGGAAAGCGUGGGGAGCAAACAGG
Molecule: ribosomal RNA, 255 nt
Filed under: uncultured bacterium
Lineage: Bacteria
Description: partial 16S ribosomal RNA
Rfam family: Bacterial small subunit ribosomal RNA
Source: RNAcentral